AAUCAACGCUGGCGGCGUGCCUAACACAUGCAAGUCGAACGCGAAAGCCCCUUCGGGGGGUAAGUAGAGUGGCGUCCGGGUGAGUAACACGUAGGUAAUCUACCUUCGGGUGGGGAAUAACUCGCCGAAAGGCGAGCUAAUACCGCAUAAUGCAGCGGCACCUAAUGGUGAUUAGUUGUUAAAGCGGGGGAUCGUAAGACCUCGCGCCUGAAGAGGAGCCUGCGGCAGAUUAGCUAGUUGGGAGGUAAUGGCUCACCAAGGCUUCGAUCUGUAGCUGGUCUGAGAGGACGGCCAGCCACACUGGCACUGACACACGGGCCAGACUCCUACGGGAGGCAGCAGUGGGAAAUUUUGGGCAAUGGGCGCAAGCCUGA
RNAcentral lists this ribosomal RNA (374 nucleotides) under uncultured bacterium. RNAcentral's name for it is "bacterial SSU rRNA". It matches the Rfam family "Bacterial small subunit ribosomal RNA", at positions 32 to 386 of the family's 1533-position model. The record is from RNAcentral.